Molecule: ribosomal RNA, 498 nt
Filed under: uncultured bacterium
Lineage: Bacteria
Description: partial 16S ribosomal RNA
Rfam family: Bacterial small subunit ribosomal RNA
Source: RNAcentral
AUUGAACGCUGGCGGCAUGCUUUACACAUGCAAGUCGAACGGUAACAGGCCGCAAGGUGCUGACGAGUGGCGAACGGGUGAGUAAUGCAUCGGAACGUGCCCAGUCGUGGGGGAUAACGCAGCGAAAGCUGCGCUAAUACCGCAUACGAUCUCUGGAUGAAAGCGGGGGACCGAAAGGCCUCGCGCGAUUGGAGCGGCCGAUGUCAGAUUAGGUAGUUGGUGGGGUAAAGGCCCACCAAGCCAACGAUCUGUAGCUGGUCUGAGAGGACGACCAGCCACACUGGGACUGAGACACGGCCCAGACUCCUACGGGAGGCAGCAGUGGGGAAUUUUGGACAAUGGGCGCAAGCCUGAUCCAGCAAUGCCGCGUGCAGGAAGAAGGCCUUCGGGUUGUAAACUGCUUUUGUACGGAACGAAACGGUCCGGGUUAAUACCCUGGGCUAAUGACGGUACUGUAAGAAUAAGCACCGGCUAACUACGUGCCAGCAGCCGCAGUAA